This 448-nucleotide ribosomal RNA is filed under the name Leptotrichia sp. oral taxon 498. RNAcentral's name for it is "bacterial SSU rRNA". It matches the Rfam family "Bacterial small subunit ribosomal RNA", at positions 28 to 493 of the family's 1533-position model. The record is from RNAcentral. Lineage: Bacteria; Fusobacteriati; Fusobacteriota; Fusobacteriia; Fusobacteriales; Leptotrichiaceae.
GAUGAACGCUGACAGAAUGCUUAACACAUGCAAGUCGAUGGGGAAGCGGCGCUUGCGCCGUGGCAACCAUGGCGGACGGGUGAGUAACGCGUAAAGAACUUGCCGGAUGGACCGGGAUAACAGCUGGAAACGGCUGGCAAGACCGGAUACUGUGGGCUGGCCGCAUGGCUGGCCCAUGAAAAGGGAUGCCGUCCGAGAGCUUUGCGUCCUAUUAGCUGGUUGGUAAGGUGACGGCUUACCAAGGCGAUGAUAGGUAGCCGGCCUGAGAGGGUGGACGGCCACAAGGGGACUGAGAUACGGCCCUUACUCCUACGGGAGGCAGCAGUGGGGAAUAUUGGACAAUGGGGGCAACCCUGAUCCAGCAAUUCUGUGUGCACGAAGAAGGUUUUCGGAUCGUAAAGUGCUUUCAGCAGGGAGGAAGGAAGUGACUGACCUGCAGAAGAGCGCG